RNAcentral lists this unclassified non-coding RNA (209 nucleotides) under Hevea brasiliensis (rubber tree). The record is from RNAcentral. Lineage: Eukaryota; Viridiplantae; Streptophyta; Magnoliopsida; Malpighiales; Euphorbiaceae.
GCGUCUUUGGCUUUUUCAGAUUCCAAAGCAACCUCUCUAAUAAUUGCUAAAAGAGUAUAAUCACAAGUAAUAUAAAAUAAAAUUAAAAUAAAAUACCUGUAUCUCUCCCAUUUUCUAGGGUUAGCAUUCACCAUCUACGGUUUCGGCACAUGGGUUAGCAACUUAACAUCCAAUAGGCUGAAUACAUUUCCAUUUUCUUGGGUUACCCA